This 66-nucleotide transfer RNA is filed under the name Lepas anatifera. RNAcentral's name for it is "tRNA-Ala". The record is from RNAcentral. Lineage: Eukaryota; Metazoa; Arthropoda; Thecostraca; Lepadidae.
AGAAAAGAAGUUUUAAAAAUAUUUGACCUGCAAUCAAAAGUAGGUGACCCCCCCCACCCUUUUCUA